This 370-nucleotide ribosomal RNA is filed under the name uncultured organism. RNAcentral describes it as "partial 16S ribosomal RNA". It matches the Rfam family "Bacterial small subunit ribosomal RNA", at positions 527 to 896 of the family's 1533-position model. The record is from RNAcentral.
GAAGGGGGCUAGCGUUGCUCGGAAUCACUGGGCGUAAAGGGCGCGUAGGCGGCUGAUUUAGUCGAGGGUGAAAGCCUGUGGCUCAACCACAGAAUUGCCUUCGAUACUGGUUGGCUUGAGACCGGAAGAGGACAGCGGAACUGCGAGUGUAGAGGUGAAAUUCGUAGAUAUUCGCAAGAACACCAGUGGCGAAGGCGGCUGUCUGGUCCGGUUCUGACGCUGAGGCGCGAAAGCGUGGGGGAGCAAACAGGAUUAGAUACCCUGGUAGUCCACGCUGUAAACGAUGAAUGCUAGCCGUUGGUCUGCAUGCAGGUCAGUGGCGCCGCUAACGCAUUAAGCAUUCCGCCUGGGGAGUACGGUCGCAAGAUUA